This 642-nucleotide long non-coding RNA is filed under the name Panax ginseng (ginseng). Its description in RNAcentral is "long non-coding RNA (PGIN_LNC002808)". Lineage: Eukaryota; Viridiplantae; Streptophyta; Magnoliopsida; Apiales; Araliaceae. The record is from RNAcentral.
UAACUGAUAACUUAUUAGUGUAAUAAGUUUAGCGUCCGUUUUUAUACGUUUUAAAUGGUAUGUAGGUUUUAUUUUAUUAUACGCAUAUUGUUAAUUGGCUUGAGUAUCAGUUUACGCCUUUGAAUUAUUUGCUAAAUUGAGAGAAGAAAGAAAAGAGUUCUCAGAGAGUUUGAGAGAAAAUUGUCAGAGCUUGAGGAAGGUUAGUGAGAGAAUUUGUCUGCUGUUAACAACGAUUUCUUAAGCAACAAGAAGGUAUUUUCCCAUAAUCUUAUAUGUUUUACAUCGUGAUGCUAAAGUCUGUGUUCUUCCAUUUCACUGUAAAUAUAAAGUUUUUACAAAAUUCUGUAGUAGUUGUUAUAUAACUGAACUAUGGUGUUUUAUGGGUGUAUGAUGUUGGAAGUAGUGUUUAAACAUGAAAGGUUAUGUUAAUUUCGUUUAAAAGGAUGGAAACUAUUUUUCAGUAUAUGUUCCGGUACAUGGCUAUCAACAAUAAAAAUAUUCAUUAAUUUGGUUGUUAAGAAGAUCAAAAUCAGUAAAUUAUUGGUAACUAAUUGGGAAAUUAAAACUGUGAACAUGUUAAUUCUGUUGUUAAGAAGUUCAGAGAAUCGUAGUUAAAGUAAACCAAUUGGUGGUUAUUAGAAU